ACAAAGGCAAGUGACUAUGGAUGGAGAUGAAAGUAGAAAGGAGUCAUGUGAGUGGGCUCUGCUCCUGGAUCCCGGUUACUGAGCCACAACACCUUCAAACUUGCUGUUUUGCAGACUUAAAGGUACUGCACAAAAGAAGCUUCUCUGAGGACUGAAAACAAGUUGGACAUGACUGCAGCUUAAAGAGUUCACAACUGGAUAAGACUGUCAAUGACCUUCUUCCUCAGCAGCCUGUAUAGCAACUUCUAGAAGAAAAGAAGCUUUCCUAUUGGCACCAGCUUGAUUCUGUUCUGUGACCCAAGUUUACUGUGUAUUCAGCAAUAGAGUCAGUGUCUGUCUCUGCUUCUAGGUGUGUACAUAAUUUUUGAGACAGUGUCUUACACUAGUUUAGAACCAUGUGGACUAGGCUAGCUGACCAGAAAGCCCCCGGGAUCUCUCUGCCUCACUCUCUUCAACAGUAGUUUUAUAGCAGGCAUAACCAUGUCCAGUUUAAAACAAAAUAUGGGUUCUGGGAAAACUUGGCUCCUGUUGCUUGCAAGGGAAGCACCUUAGCAACUAAACUAUGUCACAGACUGGGUUUCUCCAAACUGGUGAGACGAGACCCUGGUAUACCAUCACAGCAGGUAUACGUUAAUGAUUUUGCAUAGUUGUCUUCUUAAUGGAUCUACAGCCACUUACUCCAGGGAAAUAGAAACACCCGGGCACUCCAAGAACAGCCAGAUAUAAGUCUUCCUUGACACUUCUAUCCCAGGAUCCACCUCCCAUUCAGUCACAUCAAGGCUUUGCCAAUGACUAGUGCUCAUGAUGCCAAACAAAAAGCAGAGUCUUGGCCAAAUUUGGCUUAUGGGGCCAGUGAAUCAACGGAGUAUACAUUUCCAAGUAUCUUAAGGUUUACCAUUAAAGAACAGAUGUGGUUAUCUCAUGAUGUUUAUGUGAGCUCAAUUUAUGCAGAGAAGAACCAUCACACAGUUGCAAAGACAAGCGGCAACUCCUAAGUCUCCAUGUGUACACCAAUAUGGUGCAUCAAAACAUUGUAGCCCCCAGGAAAAAUGGCAGAAACUAGGGAUCACCCUAAGAGAGCCAAAGGAUAGCAUAUCUGGGUAGUGGUCUUUUGUAUUUCACUGGUACAUGAAAUACAUGGUCCGAUAUAAACUAGAUAAAUCCUGGUACAAAGUAGUCUCAACUGCAUUUACUGCUUAGAUUGGAUGGGUAGCUAGUGCUGGCUUCUUUUAGUGUCUUAAAGGGGGGUUGAGAAAGACUGUGAGAGGACAGGGGUAUUUAAGAAUGGACUUUGAAAAGAUCAAUGAAAAGAUCUAUCAUGACUUAACAGUGACAGAUAUUCUAAAGAGUAAAAUCGAGGAACUUUAAAAAGUAACUAGCAGAACAUUGGAGCACUAAAAAUAUAACUCAGAGGGAAGAUUACUUUUGAUAAAGGUGAUAUAAAAACCCAAGGCCAUAAAACUCAAGAUUAAAAAUAAUGACCAUGCAAUGAUAAUAAUAGUGAAAAAAAAAGCAAAAACAUGUGUGACCAGAAUUCAUAAGACCAGUCUGAAGAGUCAUUUCAAACAGACUAGCCACUUAGUAGAAAACAACAACAACAACAACAACAACAACAGAUGACUAAGCCCGUUUCACAGAAAGAGACGCAUAAACUGUCACAUGAAGGUUAGUCUUCAUUUAGUGGACAUGAAGGGACAGUGUAUGGGAAAUUCUCUUCACCUACUAGUUAGGCAAUGAAAAUACUUGAAUAGAUUUCAAAGCGCCCAACCUGCAGUAUGAAGCCUGCUAGACCAACUCAUUGCAUCAUCCUGGGUAAAUUUGUUUUCUACAGUUAUACUGUGAUUAUCAUUAUGUGUGCACAUAUGUUCCAUGGUAUACAUGUAGAGGCCAGAGGGCAACUCUGUGUGCUUGGCUCUCGCCUUCCACCCUUGUGUAGGCUUAGAAAACCCAGCUUAGCUCAUUAGGUUUGCAGCACAUGCUUCUAUCUGCUCAGCUAUCUCUCUGGCACCAGAGACAAUUUUGUUAAUAUUUGUUUGCCUCAGUUCCCUCAUCUAUAAAGGGAUGAUGAUAACAAA
Molecule: long non-coding RNA, 2075 nt
Organism: Meriones unguiculatus (Mongolian gerbil)
Lineage: Eukaryota; Metazoa; Chordata; Mammalia; Rodentia; Muridae
Exons: 2
Source: RefSeq, a predicted model, not a curated record